RNAcentral lists this ribosomal RNA (2927 nucleotides) under Escherichia coli. Its description in RNAcentral is "bacterial LSU rRNA". It matches the Rfam family "Bacterial large subunit ribosomal RNA". Lineage: Bacteria; Pseudomonadati; Pseudomonadota; Gammaproteobacteria; Enterobacterales; Enterobacteriaceae. The record is from RNAcentral.
GGGUUGUGAGGUUAAGCGACUAAGCGUACACGGUGGAUGCCCUGGCAGUCAGAGGCGAUGAAGGACGUGCUAAUCUGCGAUAAGCGUCGGUAAGGUGAUAUGAACCGUUAUAACCGGCGAUUUCCGAAUGGGGAAACCCAGUGUGAUUCGUCACACUAUCAUUAACUGAAUCCAUAGGUUAAUGAGGCGAACCGGGGGAACUGAAACAUCUAAGUACCCCGAGGAAAAGAAAUCAACCGAGAUUCCCCCAGUAGCGGCGAGCGAACGGGGAGCAGCCCAGAGCCUGAAUCAGUGUGUGUGUUAGUGGAAGCGUCUGGAAAGGCGCGCGAUACAGGGUGACAGCCCCGUACACAAAAAUGCACAUGCUGUGAGCUCGAUGAGUAGGGCGGGACACGUGGUAUCCUGUCUGAAUAUGGGGGGACCAUCCUCCAAGGCUAAAUACUCCUGACUGACCGAUAGUCAACCAGUACCGUGAGGGAAAGGCGAAAAGAACCCCGGCGAGGGGAGUGAAAAAGAACCUGAAACCGUGUACGUACAAGCAGUGGGAGCACGCUUAGGCGUGUGACUGCGUACCUUUUGUAUAAUGGGUCAGCGACUUAUAUUCUGUAGCAAGGUUAACCGAAUAGGGGAGCCGAAGGGAAACCGAGUCUUAACUGGGCGUUAAGUUGCAGGGUAUAGACCCGAAACCCGGUGAUCUAGCCAUGGGCAGGUUGAAGGUUGGGUAACACUAACUGGAGGACCGAACCGACUAAUGUUGAAAAAUUAGCGGAUGACUUGUGGCUGGGGGUGAAAGGCCAAUCAAACCGGGAGAUAGCUGGUUCUCCCCGAAAGCUAUUUAGGUAGCGCCUCGUGAAUUCAUCUCCGGGGGUAGAGCACUGUUUCGGCAAGGGGGUCAUCCCGACUUACCAACCCGAUGCAAACUGCGAAUACCGGAGAAUGUUAUCACGGGAGACACACGGCGGGUGCUAACGUCCGUCGUGAAGAGGGAAACAACCCAGACCGCCAGCUAAGGUCCCAAAGUCAUGGUUAAGUGGGAAACGAUGUGGGAAGGCCCAGACAGCCAGGAUGUUGGCUUAGAAGCAGCCAUCAUUUAAAGAAAGCGUAAUAGCUCACUGGUCGAGUCGGCCUGCGCGGAAGAUGUAACGGGGCUAAACCAUGCACCGAAGCUGCGGCAGCGACGCUGAUGCGUUGUUGGGUAGGGGAGCGUUCUGUAAGCCUGCGAAGGUGUGCUGUGAGGCAUGCUGGAGGUAUCAGAAGUGCGAAUGCUGACAUAAGUAACGAUAAAGCGGGUGAAAAGCCCGCUCGCCGGAAGACCAAGGGUUCCUGUCCAACGUUAAUCGGGGCAGGGUGAGUCGACCCCUAAGGCGAGGCCGAAAGGCGUAGUCGAUGGGAAACAGGUUAAUAUUCCUGUACUUGGUGUUACUGCGAAGGGGGGACGGAGAAGGCUAUGUUGGCCGGGCGACGGUUGUCCCGGUUUAAGCGUGUAGGCUGGUUUUCCAGGCAAAUCCGGAAAAUCAAGGCUGAGGCGUGAUGACGAGGCACUACGGUGCUGAAGCAACAAAUGCCCUGCUUCCAGGAAAAGCCUCUAAGCAUCAGGUAACAUCAAAUCGUACCCCAAACCGACACAGGUGGUCAGGUAGAGAAUACCAAGGCGCUUGAGAGAACUCGGGUGAAGGAACUAGGCAAAAUGGUGCCGUAACUUCGGGAGAAGGCACGCUGAUAUGUAGGUGAAGUCCUUCAGCGAGAUGGAGCUGAAAUCAGUCGAAGAUACCAGCUGGCUGCAACUGUUUAUUAAAAACACAGCACUGUGCAAACACGAAAGUGGACGUAUACGGUGUGACGCCUGCCCGGUGCCGGAAGGUUAAUUGAUGGGGUCAGCGCAAGCGAAGCUCUUGAUCGAAGCCCCGGUAAACGGCGGCCGUAACUAUAACGGUCCUAAGGUAGCGAAAUUCCUUGUCGGGUAAGUUCCGACCUGCACGAAUGGCGUAAUGAUGGCCAGGCUGUCUCCACCCGAGACUCAGUGAAAUUGAACUCGCUGUGAAGAUGCAGUGUACCCGCGGCAAGACGGAAAGACCCCGUGAACCUUUACUAUAGCUUGACACUGAACAUUGAGCCUUGAUGUGUAGGAUAGGUGGGAGGCUUUGAAGUGUGGACGCCAGUCUGCAUGGAGCCGACCUUGAAAUACCACCCUUUAAUGUUUGAUGUUCUAACGUUGACCCGUAAUCCGGGUUGCGGACAGUGUCUGGUGGGUAGUUUGACUGGGGCGGUCUCCUCCUAAAGAGUAACGGAGGAGCACGAAGGUUGGCUAAUCCUGGUCGGACAUCAGGAGGUUAGUGCAAUGGCAUAAGCCAGCUUGACUGCGAGCGUGACGGCGCGAGCAGGUGCGAAAGCAGGUCAUAGUGAUCCGGUGGUUCUGAAUGGAAGGGCCAUCGCUCAACGGAUAAAAGGUACUCCGGGGAUAACAGGCUGAUACCGCCCAAGAGUUCAUAUCGACGGCGGUGUUUGGCACCUCGAUGUCGGCUCAUCACAUCCUGGGGCUGAAGUAGGUCCCAAGGGUAUGGCUGUUCGCCAUUUAAAGUGGUACGCGAGCUGGGUUUAGAACGUCGUGAGACAGUUCGGUCCCUAUCUGCCGUGGGCGCUGGAGAACUGAGGGGGGCUGCUCCUAGUACGAGAGGACCGGAGUGGACGCAUCACUGGUGUUCGGGUUGUCAUGCCAAUGGCACUGCCCGGUAGCUAAAUGCGGAAGAGAUAAGUGCUGAAAGCAUCUAAGCACGAAACUUGCCCCGAGAUGAGUUCUCCCUGACUCCUUGAGAGUCCUGAAGGAACGUUGAAGACGACGACGUUGAUAGGCCGGGUGUGUAAGCGCAGCGAUGCGUUGAGCUAACCGGUACUAAUGAACCGUGAGGCUUAACCUUACAACGCCGAAG